AGAGUUUGAUCAUGGCUCAGAUUGAACGCUGGCGGAUGCCUUACACAUGCAAGUCGAACGGUAACGCGGGGCAACCUGGCGACGAGUGGCGAACGGGUGAGUAAUAUAUCGGAACGUGCCCAGUAGUGGGGGAUAGCCCGGCGAAAGCCGGAUUAAUACCGCAUACGACCUACGGGUGAAAGCGGGGGAUCGCAAGACCUCGCGCUAUUGGAGCGGCCGAUAUCAGAUUAGGUAGUUGGUGGGGUAAAAGCCUACCAAGCCGACGAUCUGUAGCUGGUCUGAGAGGACGACCAGCCACACUGGGACUGAGACACGGCCCAGACUCCUACGGGAGGCAGCAGUGGGGAAUUUUGGACAAUGGGCGCAAGCCUGAUCCAGCCAUGCCGCGUGCGGGAAGAAGGCCUUCGGGUUGUAAACCGCUUUUGUCAGGGAAGAAAUCUUCUGAGUUAAUACCUCGGGAGGAUGACGGUACCUGAAGAAUAAGCACCGGCUAACUACGUGCCAGCAGCCGCGGUAAUACGUAGGGUGCGAGCGUUAAUCGGAAUUACUGGGCGUAAAGCGUGCGCAGGCGGUUAUGCAAGACAGAUGUGAAAUCCCCGGGCUCAACCUGGGAACUGCAUUUGUGACUGCAUGGCUGGAGUGCGGCAGAGGGGGAUGGAAUUCCGCGUAGCAGUGAAAUGCGUAGAUAUGCGGAGGAACACCGAUGGCGAAGGCAAUCCCCUGGGCCUGCACUGACGCUCAUGCACGAAAGCGUGGGGAGCAAACAGGAUUAGAUACCCUAGUAGUCC
This 788-nucleotide ribosomal RNA is filed under the name uncultured bacterium. RNAcentral describes it as "bacterial SSU rRNA". It matches the Rfam family "Bacterial small subunit ribosomal RNA", at positions 8 to 796 of the family's 1533-position model. The record is from RNAcentral.